This 296-nucleotide ribosomal RNA is filed under the name Geraeocormobius clavifemur. RNAcentral's name for it is "partial 16S ribosomal RNA". Lineage: Eukaryota; Metazoa; Arthropoda; Arachnida; Opiliones; Gonyleptidae. The record is from RNAcentral.
GCAUAAUCAAUAGUUCUUUAAUUGGGAACUGGAAUGAAGGGUUAAGACUAAGAAGAAUGUUUUAUUUAAUAAAUUUGAAUUUAAAUUAAAAGUAAAAAUGCUUUUAUGAAGUUUUGGGACGAGAAGACCCUAGAAGCUUAAAAUUAAAGAUUUUUUGUUGGGGUAACAUUUGAAGAUAUGAAUUUUUAAAAAAUUUUUGAAGGAGAUUUAAUAAAGUUACUCUAGGGAUAACAGCAUUAUUUAAUUAACAAGUUCUUAUUAAUAAUUAAGUUUGUGACCUCGAUGUUGAAUUAAUU